CCUACGGGAGGCAGCAGUGAGGAAUAUUGGUCAAUGGGCGAGAGCCUGAACCAGCCAAGUCGCGUGAAGGAUGAAGGAUCUAUGGUUUGUAAACUUCUUUUAUAUGGGAAUAAAGUGAGGAACGUGUUCCUUUUUGUAUGUACCAUAUGAAUAAGCAUCGGCUAACUCCGUGCCAGCAGCCGCGGUAAUACGGAGGAUGCGAGCGUUAUCCGGAUUUAUUGGGUUUAAAGGGUGCGUAGGUGGUUAAUUAAGUCAGCGGUGAAAGUUUGGGGCUUAACCAUAAAAUUGCCGUUGAAACUGGUUGACUUGAGUACAGUUGAGGUAGGCGGAAUGCGUGGAGUAGCGGUGAAAUGCAUAGAUAUCACGCAGAACUCCGAUUGCGAAGGCAGCUUACUAAACUAUAACUGACACUGAAGCACGAGAGCGUGGGGAGCAAACAGGAUUAGAUACCCCAGUAGUC
This 460-nucleotide ribosomal RNA is filed under the name uncultured bacterium. Its description in RNAcentral is "partial 16S ribosomal RNA". It matches the Rfam family "Bacterial small subunit ribosomal RNA", at positions 338 to 795 of the family's 1533-position model. The record is from RNAcentral.